CAGUAGCCACGGGAAUACGGAGGGUGCAAGCGUUAAUCGGAAUUACUGGGCGUAAAGCGCACGCAGGCGGUCUGACAAGUCAGAUGUGAAAUCCCCGGGCUUAACCUGGGAACUGCAUUUGAAACUGUCAGGCUGGAGUCUUGUAGAGGGGGGUAGAAUUCCAGGUGUAGCGGUGAAAUGCGUAGAGAUCUGGAGGAAUACCGGUGGCGAAGGCGGCCCCCUGGACAAAGACUGACGCUCAGGUGCGAAAGCGUGGGGAGCAAACAGGAUUAGAUACCCGGGUAGUCCCUGUCUCUUAUAA
This 301-nucleotide ribosomal RNA is filed under the name uncultured bacterium. RNAcentral describes it as "partial 16S ribosomal RNA". It matches the Rfam family "Bacterial small subunit ribosomal RNA", at positions 509 to 809 of the family's 1533-position model. The record is from RNAcentral.